CAGCAUGGCACUAGAGUGUACUAUGGUAUUUAUACGCACACAGAUAAUCCGCAAGCGCACGGAUACUGUUGAAGCUUUUACCCGGUUAAAGGUUUUAUCGUAUCCACAGGGAAACGGGAGAACUAACUACGCUCUAACUUAACCAAGAUAAAUAGAUAAGUGUAAAUAGGAAAGAUGGUAGAAUUGAAUAAGAACAAUAUUAAAGGUAAGAUAACAGUGAGUGAUAAUAUGGGAAUAGAGAAUAGAGCAAUUCUAGUAUAUGGGCGAUGGUAGCAGAAUAGAGUAUAACUAUGGUUUCUCUACUUCAAAGGGGUAUGUCUAUGUCUGGGACGAACCACGUGAUAACAGUACACCACAAAGGAUGCUUAUCCUUAGGCCGAUAAGCCCUACCCGUCCUGCUAACGAGAGGUGGACUACAGAGGACCAACGUAACUGUCACCUACGCGGCCUACCACACGAUCCAGCUAGACAGGGGAUAUCCACAAGUAAUCUAGAUCUAAGCACCUCGCUUACACCUAUACUACAACUCUCACCUAUAGCGUCCUAUAGAUUAAAGUACUCAAAAGAGUUGUGAACCAGAACAUACAUGAUUAGUAAUUGCAUAAUGAAUUAGAAGUAGAUUACCAGAGUCAUCCCAUGAGCAAGCUUGAUUAGAGCUUGAUCAUGACGAAGUACAACCGGAGGAAGAACCGACAAGACGGCCUCUCCUCUAAUCCUCCUUCGCUCUCCAUCUUGCUACUAUCUAGAUCUAGUCUAGUUUAGAGAAGAGAGGAGAGCUCUCAUCUCUAAACCCUAGCUUUUGCUCUGUCUAUGAAUAAUGAAUAAUGAUCAAGGGGUGCCUCCUCCAGGGGCCAGGGGAUCAAACCGACAUUGAUCGUGUGGUUUUCCUUGAAGUAUUAGGUCGGUGGAGCAUGAUCCGCGAAGUUGAAGCUGAUUGGUUACUGUAGCUGGGCAGGCACCCAAGGGACUUGGGCGGGCGCCCUGCCCCCGGGCCCGAUCGGCCUCCCGUUCGUUCCCGUGGCUUCUAGAGUCUUCUAGAUGGUAGAAAAUUGCGCGGCACGUUAAUAUCUCUAUGUAAACCCGACGUGUGGGCCUUUCUUUCAUAUUUCCUGAUAACCCUCUGCAGAAAUAGACAAACACCAAAACUCAUGGAAUUCUGUCUGAUAAAACCCUAAGUCUAGAUGUUGAUUUCAUUUGGAUCCUUUUCUUUGUUUAUUUGAUAAUUAAAUUUGAUACUUAAGGACCGUCAACAAACUCCCCCAAGCUUACCUCUUGCUCGUCCCUGAGCAAGGAUAGACUCAGCAAUGGAUCAGAAGUUGUUGCAAUAUCUUAAAUAUUUGAUGGUACACAUGCUUUUAAAUAAGAUCUCAUCUCUGAGUUAGAGUAAACUGUCAAGAACUAAAACUUACUUACUUUACCUUUCACCAUGGGACUUGUAACCGUCACUUCUGUCUUGAGUAGUUAAAAGAUAGAACAGUCUAGCCAAGUGCCAUGUCUCUUAUUCUUGAUCAGCUAUAGAUCUGGAGUUUUUUGCACAUUUUCAAAUAAAACUCAGAGAUUCCUUGUAUGACUCUCUAAAUCUCUCUUUUGUGGUAUUUCUGGAUCCUUACCAAGGCAGUGAUGGUAUAUGCCUUCUCUCAAGAUAUGUGGUAUUUGUGGUAUAAGGCAUAGUGACAUUGCCUUCUCUCUCACCCUACUCUAAUAAGGCUUUAAUAUCUGGAGCUCAUAGGUGGGAGACAGCUAAUACAUACUUACAAGACAUUUAUUGCAUAGUCAAACCAUGGAUCCAGAGAAACAAGUCAAUAAGUCAAAUCAAGAUAUCCAUGUGUGGCGAAUGAAUGGUGUAUGGUGAUGAUGGUGAUAACAAUGGUGGAAGUCUAAUUCUACUUUUGCUCUUUUGAGGGGAUACAUACCUUCCUUGCUUUUUGAAACUUUAUGAGGAGAAUGAGAUGCUCUAUCUUUCAUUUUUCUUUCGUCUCAGGUGGGUAUCCUGUACCCCUAAUUCUACUGUCGGACACUUGUCCAUUUUUACCUCUCGUCUCACUCUUUUUUCUUUUCUUUCGAGGUUCCGGGCACUUCCCCUUUUUAUUUCCUCGUUUAUUUAUUUUUUUUCUUUUCUUCUCUUUUCUUUUUUUUCAGAGCACUCAUCUCUUGAGAUAAUAUAGCAAGUGGUAGUAGCAAGAUAACUUGAGCAUUUAUUUCACAAGGGAAAACAGAAAUAUUUUUGGCUAUUCUCUUCCGGAUUAGGAGUAGAAUAUUUUUGGGUGGUUCUGGAGAUGGACAUGGAUGGAUAUAUAUGGAUGGUACUUCCGGAGUAGAAGUAGCAUAUAUGAGUGAACGUGCAAGUGAAUCUUGAUUUAACCACAUGACAAGCUCCUAAGGGUCUACACAGCUUGACCACACUCAAUGCUCAUAAGCAGUAAAUCAUAAAUGUGUGGCUCAAAGUCUAGCAAGCAUGUAUAUAUGGCUGUGGUAUUAAACUCUCAUCAUACAGGAACUCAUCAUGCAAUAUUUUAAAGAUUUUUCAAAGAUAAAAUUCUCCAGAAUUCUAGCAUCUCUAGGAACAGAUAAACAGCAGCUCAACCUUCCCAUAUCAUAUCUGUUAACAACUUAGAUUUUAGAUCAAGUUUUCAUCCCACAAGUUUAGAUCUAGAGCAAGCUUUAAAUUAUAACAGUUAUGUCUAAACUUGAGAGAGAACUUCAAAUUUGCAAAUUAGGCAGAGCAACUAUUCAUCAUAUCCAUGCUAGAGUUUUAUUAUUAAGAUUUAGAUUAGCAUAGCCACUUUAUUUAUUAAACACACUAAGCAAAAGAUAUAUAUAUAAACACAAAAUCUUUAUUUGGUUUUUCAUAGUUUAUGUAUUUUAAUAUUCUAAUAUAAUAUAAGUAUAAAGAUAGGUAGAAAUACUUAGCGAGAUAAAUGGGGGUGCUCUUCCCCCAAGCUAAAUUUUGACGUAAUUUCUCUUGAUGUAGCUAGCAGGUGGCAGAGUUGUAUUUGAAAGUCAGCAGCAUUCUGACAGCGAUUACAAUGUCCUCCGUCUGCUAGUCUUCUUGAUUCUUAAAUUCUGUGGAGCUCAAAUAGACAACAAAGCUUGUGGAACUAAUUAAGUGUUAGCAUAAAUAUCUAGCCUUCAUCAUGUUGAGCUUCCUCAAUAAAUAUUACUCCCUGUUUUUAUAUUUUUAUUUUCUAAAGCAGAGAAGAAAUAUUUAUUUUAUUUUUAUGCCACCACAGUGAAGGUACUUAUGGGUUUUUAUGCCACUCGUAUACUCACAUGGGGCUUAGUAUUUUUUAACAUUUUUAUUUUCUUUUCAAGAUAGCAUGAUUAACUAAUAAUCUAUUUAAGGAAAGUAAAUAAUUAAAGGGAAAAGGGAAUGCAGAAAGGAUAAAUAUGGAUAACUACCGAUCUUACCUUUCGGCGAUGGUUCAAUGUUUUUAAGUCUUCUUAACAAGACUUCUCACCGUGUUCAUUUUUCAGGUGCGUCAUUUGAUUCAGGUGCGGACCUUGACGUCUGCACCUCUUCAUUUGCCCAGCAGUUCGAAGUGCGGCGUUGGCAGUAUCCUGCUCAGUGUGUUUGUGCUCGUAGAUCCAGGUCCUUUACUUGGUAAAGUCUGAGAGUUAUAAAACUCCUCCGUGUUUUGCUCGAAGUGUACCUACUCAUAGAGACAAGGCAGAGAUCAAGUGCAUGGGUCCUCUUGGUGGAGAACACCAACAGAACCUAAAGUGUAUUUGUUCUUCUCUAACCCUAAGCAUAGUGAGCAAGACAAAGUUGAUGGAUGAAAAGUUCAUGAGUGUAGCACUUAUAACAUUUGUCAGAUCAGAUCGCUCAACCUUAUGGAAAGAUAAUCUAUCUAUGUAUAUGUCUUUUUCUUUAUAUCUCUCAAAGAUUGAAUGUGUAACAUUUUAGCUCAUAUGAUUAGGAGUGUAGGAUUAUGGAGGCAGUACUAAGAACAAGGAUUAAAGGACUAAACAUGUUGAAUCAGUUGGGUUGGUUAAUCUAGAGUUGUAAAUCAUACAUGUUUGACUCUUUUAUUUAUAUGAACGCCAGAACCAAGGAGAAGCUUAUAAAAGUGAUAGUCAAGUACCUUAAGAUGUUACCUUGCUUGAAGAGUGAUGGUACAGUAUCACCUUGUGGAAGCUUUCCUUUCUUAGCGGUUGUGCAUCGUGUUUGUGGCACCCUCCAUGGAUCAUCUCUCUAUGAUGAAUGAGCUAUGUCCUUCUUGUGCAAAUUAUUAAACUUCAUGUGUCACUCUCUUCGUCUCUGAUGUGAGUUUAUUUCAGGACUUCCCAAAUCGAUAUUGAAAAUUUUUUCUGCAGGGGUUAGUCCGUCAAAAAUAUACCAAUGUCUACACAAGCAGUUUUUAGUUCAAUAACCGAACUAGACUCCAUGUCUAAUCAGAUUAAGGAAGGCUGUUUAACCUAAGCACCAUGCUUAAUUUAAAAGCCAAUAGAAGUAUGUGCAGUACUUCCAAACUAACACUUACUAGUAAAUAGACAAAGGUAACAUGACAGCAUUUAUAGAGAUCUACUCAAGUGGAGAUGAAGUAGUGUGAUUAGUAUUUAACAAUUUGAGCAUGUCUUAAAUGUAGGGACAACCAACAUAGCAACAUGGCAAAGGAUGUUUUUAUGUAAAGUACUCCCCCAAGCUUGAAUUCUGCAGAAUUCAAGUUUGGAUGAAUUUAAUUCAGUGUUGCAUGAUGAUUGGUUGGACAUACCUUGUACUUGCUUGUCAUUCAUCUGAUCUUCUUGUUCCAAUCCUGGAAAGGUUAUUGACAAGAAUACCCAAAGGAAUAUUUUUUUUACAAUUAUCCUUAUAUGCUCAAUACACCAGGUAAUAUUGUAAAUAAUUAAAAGCUCAUGUUAUGAUCUGAUCGGUGCUUAUUUUAAGACACUAAGCUUGUCCUUGGGAAACCAUCAAUUUAUGUCGGCGAAGUGGUUUCUCUUCCAACGCUGACCUAAAUCAAGAUCAACUCAACGAGAUCUGCAAUAUUUAUUAUAGACAUAUGCAUCGACAACCGCCCCUUUAAAGUUUUUGUAAAUAGAAAGGAAGAGGGGGUUGGAGAUCUCAAAUGUGGUAAUGUUGGAGAGACCAAUAGAUUGGGAAGAUGUUUCAUAUGAGCAUGGAGUAAAUGAAGUGGUUAUGAAAUAAAUUCUAUGCUCAUUAAUGUUAUCUUCGUCUCCAAUAUGAAUGUUCGGAGUUUCUCCUAGAUUGGUCUCACCUAUGUCCUCUUCUGUAGUUGGAUGAACCUCAUCUUCAAAGGAGUCAAUAACUCACCAUUUGAGAUUGAGCCAAAGUCAGAAUCUAUUAAGGCUUCUUCGUUAUCCAUCCAUUCUACACAUUCUAGCCAUUUAGAACUUGUGAUCAAGACAGGGGAGGUGUUAGGAUUUUCUAUAUGGCUUAGCUCUCCUUCUAUGACAUUACUUGACAUGUCAUCCUCAUGGUCUUUAUGACUCCUAUGGUUUGAUAGUCUUGAUGGAUUUUUAGGAUCAUCAUGAGACUUAAAAGGAGAGGGAUAAGAGGGGUCUCUAAGGUAAAGGAUGGAUUUAGAAUUUGUGAACAUGGAAGGGGAGCAGAUAGAAUUUUCUAUAUAGUUUAGCUCUCCUUCACUUGAUAUGUCAUCCUCAACUUCUUCAUAACAGGAACCAGGACAUUCUCUAAGCGAACCAUUGUUGCGAGGAUUUGAAUUAUCCCUGCUUGAAGGUCUCUUAUGGAACCAGAAGUCUAAACCAUCAGCAUCUGAAAGAUUUAAGGUCGGAAUUCCUUCCUCCCUUGGAGAAUUUUGGGGUAUUGACGGUUUAGGAUCGAUAGCUAAAGUUUGAAAUUGAAGUGGUUGUGAUCUGGCUAUCGAAACUUCUUCUUCUUGUCUAGGAACUGGUUCUGUCGCUUUCUCAGGGAUAUAAAAGCUAGGAGACUUCCCACUUAAUAAAUCAAUCAAAUUCCAAGCUUCACUAGCAGGUAGGUGAUAGAAGGAUCCUCUAGAGGCUGUAUUCAAGGUUUGCUUAUUUUCCCUACUAAGGCCCUCAAAAAAGUGAAUUAGAAGAACUUCUUCUGGAAUAGAAAGCUUUGGGCCAGUGAGAGUAAGGUUAAUAAAGCGGUCCCAUGAUUUCCUAAGAGAUUCUUCUUUCAGUUGUCUAAAAGAAACAAUCUCACACCGAAGUUCCGCCACUUUGGAGAUUGAAAAAUAUUUAGAAAGAAAACUACUAUAUAACUCCUUCCAAUCUCUAUGAACACUCCCUACUUUGAGUUUGUACCAAUGUCUAGCUUUUCCCGUUAAAGAGAACGGAAAGAGCUUCCAUUUGAGGGUCUCAUCGGACAUUCCUUCUAUGCGAAGGAGGUCACAGACUCGAUAAAACUCUCUUAGGUGUGUGUAUGGGUUUUCCUCACCUUCUCCUAAGAAAGGUUGUUUUUGAACAAAUUCUAUGUAUUCGGGGUCUAUCUCAAAACUAGAUGCUAUGAUAGGCUUUGAAGAUUUUGGUGGUUCGAGAUGUGUGCCCGUAGGUCUAUGAAAUUCAUAGAUAGACAUGUUUGAAUUCAUGAUAGACCAGAGAUCAAGGAUUAGAUAAAAAGAAAGAACAGCAGAGAUAAGGCAAAAGAUAAAAGGAAAAGUAUAUAUAUAUAUAUUUUUAAUAAUUUUUUUUAGAAAAUGAUUAAGCUAGUUCGUAGUCAACUCAGCAACCAUUUCCCCGGCAACGGCGCCAAAAAUGCUUGUUGACACUUGCUAACACCACUUGAAUACUAGGUUGUCAUCCCCAGCAUGGCACUAGAGUGUACUAUGGUAUUUAUACGCACACAGAUAAUCCGCAAGCGCACGGAUACCGUUGAAGCUUUUACCCGGUUAAAGGUUUUAUCGUAUCCACAGGGAAAUGGGAGAACUAACUACGCUCUAACUUAACCAAGAUAAAUAGAUAAGUGUAAAUAGGAAAGAUGGUAGAAUUGAAUAAGAACAAUAUUAAAGGUAAGAUAAUAGUGAGUGAUAAUAUGGGAAUAGAGAAUAGAGCAAUUCUAGUAUAUGGGCGAUGGU
This 7019-nucleotide long non-coding RNA is filed under the name Sorghum bicolor (sorghum). RNAcentral's name for it is "long non-coding RNA (SBIC_LNC004749)". Lineage: Eukaryota; Viridiplantae; Streptophyta; Magnoliopsida; Poales; Poaceae. The record is from RNAcentral.